Alexandromys fortis (reed vole) is the source of this 464-nucleotide long non-coding RNA. RefSeq lists it as uncharacterized. The transcript has 3 exons. Lineage: Eukaryota; Metazoa; Chordata; Mammalia; Rodentia; Cricetidae. The record is from RefSeq and is a predicted model, not a curated record.
GUUCAAAAGGAGAAAACUCAAAGAAGACAACUCAGAGCACUCAGCAGAGUAACUGGAUUCAGACAGGGGUGGCAACAUCCCCUUCAGCUCUCAUCUCUGCCUGCUGCCUGCGUGGGAUCUGAUGGGCAAGAGAAACAAAUUCAAAAAGCCUGCAAGGAGCCCAGUGGGGAAUGAUGAGGAAUUGAAGGAAGAACACUAGGAUGCAGGAGAAAUAACUGGAUGAGAGGUUCAUAAAGUGGAAAGGGAGGAGGAAGCAAGAUGAGACGAAAAAGAUUUACUUCAUCAAGUGCAACCAUAUGUCUUGGUGACCUUUCAACCUCUGCUGAGAUGUACAGCAUGGGGGUUCAGAGAGUCUGUGGUAUGCAGGCAGCAUCUUAGAGGCCAGUGGCUUUCUUUUUACACUGUGCAAAUACUGCCGCAGCACACUUAUGAUUGUGCUUCUUUCUGUUGUAUCCAUGUGACAC